CCCUUAGAUGUUCUGGGCCGCACGCGCGCUACACUGAUGCAUUCAACGAGUUUCUUCCUGGUCCGAGAGGAAUGGGUAACCUUUUGAAAGUGCAUCGUGAUAGGGAUAGACUAUUGCAAUGAUUGGUCUUCAACGAGGAAUUCCUAGUAGACGUAGUUCAUCAGACUGCAUCGAUUACGUCCCUGCCCUUUGUACACACCGCCCGUCGCUCCUACCGAUUGAAUGCUCAGGUGAGCCAUUCGGACUUUCAUCAUGCUGGUUUCCAGUUUUGAUGAAGGAAAGUCUUGCGAACCUUAUCAUUUAGAGGAAGGAGAAGUCGUAACA
This 324-nucleotide ribosomal RNA is filed under the name uncultured eukaryote. RNAcentral's name for it is "partial 18S ribosomal RNA". It matches the Rfam family "Eukaryotic small subunit ribosomal RNA", at positions 1470 to 1796 of the family's 1831-position model. The record is from RNAcentral.